UUCCCCCUUAGGCGGAGAGAAGGAUACAGGGAAGCUUGGCAAAAAACAGAAUUAAAGGGAAUGGGUGUCGGAAGCCGAGGGUCUGAAGUUCACGACUCAUAGAAGGGGAGGGGAAUUGAAAGGCUCUCAGUGAAGAAGGUACAGUAAAUAAAUGUCCAGCGGCAUAGCGGGCUGGGAAGUUGAAUGAAAUGGCCUAAUCUAGGCCGGAGGUCGUAAGAGAGAAGGGAGGGGGGCGGGGGGUAAACAAUGAAUUGAUUCUCGGAGUAUUUCUUAAGGUCUUUUUUCCUGCCAUACUUCUCUCAUUCCUACCGCUAUUCCAAGCUACUGAGGCGCCUAAGUCCCCUUCUCUGCCUUAUUCCCCUUCUGUUUUGAGGGUCACUGAGGCGCCAUUUGUUUCCUAGUUCCUUGUACGUCUUUGCAGUUUACAGUACAAAUAACAGUACUUUGGAUGCGUGUAGAGUUGUAUAUGCAUGCAAAGGCUUUUAACUAGAUAUAAUUUACUUACGAUCCUCUCUUCAAAACUAAUAAUAGCUAUCAUUUAUUAAGUUCUUAAUAUAUUUCUGCCUCAAUCUUUACGUACACAUUAUAUUUGCUCUUCAUAAAAACCUUGUUAGAAAACAUGCCCAAAAGGAAGUGACUUCCUUAGGUUCACACAGCCAGCAAGCGACGGUUAGGCAUUCAGAUCUAGAUAUGUACCCAUAUUGCAGACGGGACAUAGCAGGAAAGUUUAGGCCAGUAUUAUAUAAAAUAAUAACUAACUUCCGGUUACUGUUGCUUUAUAGUUUACAUAAUACGUUCACAUAUAUCAUUUCAUUCUGGCACCAAUCCUGUAAUACGAUACCAGGUAUUGUCGACUCCAUUUACAGUUAUGGAAACAGACUAGGAAUUAAGUGACUCGUCCAAGGUCAAACCACCAGUGUAUCUCAGACCCAGAGAGUGUUUUUUGUACUAUUUUCUACAAAAGAAAAGAGCUGUUAAGCUCACACCUUUUGUUAGGCCUCUGGAUCUCUUAGGGGGAAGAAGUGAUAAGGAUGUUUACCCUUAAGGAGGCAACAGAGCUUUAUUUUAUUGUGUGCUUGGAAAUUGCCUCUUCAUGCACAACACAUUGAUAUGUUAAUUGAAAGCUAGUAUUGUUUUAAUUAUUAUUGUACAGUGAGCCCCUUUCACUUAUUCUGGAAAGUCUUGCUUUCUGAAACCUUAGAUAAGUGAACUAUCUCAAAAUUUCUGAAACGUCUGGGACAAAAUAGAUACAUCAGUGCAGUCCAUGAGGCCAUUUGAGUCUUCUGUAGCUGCCAAGGGAAUUGUUUACCUUACUAGGUUUUUUGGGUAAAUAGAAUUUGAUGCUUUGAAAUGAACCAUCUGUGAGACACUCCUAAGAGGUAUUAGUACUGACUUCCACCUUAAUUAUUGUCUACAGUUUUCUUCAAAAGAAAUGACAUGUUUGAAAGAGAAAUUAUUUAAACAUUAUUCUCUUAUCCAAUUCUCCUGGCCCACGGCACAAAUGAUGUUACUGUAAUACAAGAUAGGUAAUGUUACUUAUCUUGAAAGGGAUAAUUUUCAAUAAAGUUUUUUGGGGCGCCUGGGUGGCUCAAUCGGUUGGGCGUCCGACUUUGGCUCUGGUAAUGAUCUCAUGAUUCGUGGGUUCAAGCCCUGUGUCUGACUCUGUGCUGACAGCUCAGAGCCUGGAGCCUGCUUUGAAUUCUGUGUCUCCCUCUCUCUCUGCCCUUUCCCUACUCACACUCUCACUCUCUGUCUCUCAAAAUUAAAUAAACAUUGAAAAAAUAAUUUUUUUAAAUAAAGUUUUUCUUAAUUCAUGCAGGAAAAGUUGUUUAUUUCUAUUCUGACAAUAGUUUGGUGGUAACUACAUACAUGGUCUUGGAACUGGUUUUUAAUUGAGUGUUUUUAAGUUGAGAAAUUGAAUAUGCCUAGUAGGUGGAAAUUAUUGUCUACUGUUACUGAGAAGUUACACCUUCAGUGAAAUUUUAUUUUCGUCAUACAGAAUCCAAAGAAUUGAAUUAUGAAAGCCUCAAAACACAUGAAAAAUGACAGCAGUGUGCACAUGGGCAUGCACUUUUAUGUUUUGACAUCACCAAGCUAAAUUUUCUUUACUGAUAAUACAUAUGAAUAGUGAAAUAGAUUUUUUAAAUCGCAUUUGAAUAUGUCAUUCUAAAUCACACUUGACAAAAUAACCACUUCCCACCUUACUGAAAAAAAUGGGUAGCCUUUUGCUGGUUUGUCAAGCACAAUCCAUUUGACUCAUCCAAUGUUCAUUUCCCCAUGUGGAACUUUGAUUAGUUAGAAAUACUCUUCCAAAACUAAAUCUGACAUUUAAACCCAUUUGUAACUAUAGUUCUAAUUUUAAGAAUGAUACUUUUGAAAGGAAAAAAAUAAAAUACCCUGAUAUAAAGCACAGUUCAUAGGAGGAGGGAAAGGAGUUAAGUUUUCGAUCAAUUCUAGAAUUAAAUUGGGUCAUUUAACCUUCAAGUCACUUAAUGAGUCUGUAGAUGCAAAGUUCAGAAAGUAAGAAGGCUAACAAAUAAAGGGGCAUUAACCAUGCCACGUUCAAUAUGUGAAUUAUUUUUUUACAGGCAUUUAGAAGGCAUGGGUACCUGUAAAGUAAGAACGUUUUGUUAGGACAAAAUAUACAUGCUGUUUCUUAUAAGGCCGUAGGAGUGCAGCAAGCUUCUAACUUGCUUAUGUGAGAUAUACAUGCUUCCUUCCUCUUCUUCCCCAAAUCCAUGAUCUUAAUUGCCUAAUAACUUUUAAAAGAUCUUGAUGAGAUUUCUAAUAGUUUUUCUUUUUUUAAAGUUUAUUUAUUUUUGACAGAGAGAGAAUGUGGCAGGGGAGGGGCAGAGGGAGAGGGAGACAGAAUCUGAAGCAGACAGCAGAGAGCCUGAUGCAGGGCUCAUACUCAUACACCGUGAGAUCAUGACCUGAGCCAAAGUCAGAUGCUUAACCGACUGAGCCACCCAGGAGCCCCACUAAUAGUUCUUAUUCUCAUCUCAGUAUUCCCUACGGGAAAAUGAGCUGAGCCCCUAAUGUUAGCUGCUCUGAUAUAUACCUCUUCUAUCACCAUUACCCCAGCAUCACCUCUAUCUGAAUUGACAAAAUGCAGUUAAAACUGAAACCCUGGGGCGCCUGGGUGGCGCAGUCGGUUGAGCGUCCGACUUCAGCCAGGUCACGAUCUUGCGCUCCGUGAGUUCGAGCCCCGCGUCAGGCUCUGGGCUGAUGGCUCGGAGCCUGGAGCCUGUUUCCGAUUCUGUGUCUCCCUCUCUCUCUGCCCCUCCCCCGUUCAUGCUCUGUCUCUCUCUGUCCCAAAAAUAAAUAAACAUUGAAAAAAAAAACCAUAUAAAAAAAACAAAAAACUGAAACCCCCUUUUUCCCCGUAAAUUUCUAGUAUGGCACUUCUAAAAUUCCUGUAUUGCUUUUUUUUUUUUUCAAUGUGUAUUUAUUUUUGAGAAGGAGAGGUGGAGAGAGAGGAAGACAGGAUUCAAAGUGGGCCCUGCACUGACAACAGAGAGCCUGAUGCGGGGCUUGAACUCACAAACGGUGAGAUCGUGACCUGAGCCAACGUUGGACACUUAAUCAACUGAGCCACCCAGGCGCCCCUAAAAUUCCUAUAUUGCUUUUAAUAAACCUAGUAAAUGUAAAAGCAAGAGGCAUCCACUUAACAAGAGCUUAACCAUUAUUGUUUUUCUUUUAUAUUGGAAAAGGAAGGGAAUCAUAACUUUGGGAAUUGUUAUAAGUCAGCCACAUACUUUCUUAUAUGAAAUAUACAUCUGUACUAAGAGUUGACUGUGUUCCUCCAGAUCUCUACUCCAGAUAAUCAGACUUUGAGUCAUCAGCUUUUGUUGAAGCUGAGGGUGGAUAUGUGAGGGACUUAAUUACUGAAGUAGGUAUCGUGAGAACUUGAAAGGAUGCAGAAUGCCAUCCCUGAUGCCGAGGAACUCCAAGUCUAAUAGAAGAAAUAGGUUAAACUAAAUUGUUCAUAAAUAUAGGUAGAAUAAAGUAUGUAAUCAAUCAAAACAGUAUAAGAAAAUAAAUAUCACAAAUGCUAUGAAAAAUUGAGGGCUUGUUGUAGGGGGAGUGUUUUUCAGAAUAUUAUCUUAGUCUUUAAAACAGUCCUGUGAGAUAAGUUUAACUCUGGAAGGUUAACAUUAUCAUCAUCAUUAUUACCACCCAGCUAGCAAGUAGCAGAGCUGGGCCUCAAAUCAAGGUUUUCUUCCAUGUUUAGUACUCACUCUUUCCACUACAUCACAGCUGCUUGGUGAUUUGAGAGAGAAUUAGCCAAGAAGUGAGUGCAAACUGGUGGCCAGUGGCCAAACUUGGCUUACAUGUGUUUUUGUUUGGCCAGCAGCAGUUUAACUUUUUUUUUUUUUUUUUUUUAAUGUGAACAUCUUUGUGCAGUGGCCAGCAGUUCUCUCUCUAAGGUCAUAUACCAGGUCCCUUGAGACAUAUUACCUGCUUGGCUCCAGAAAGCAUUUGCGUUUUCUGUGUCAGGCAGUAACUGGCGACAGAGAGGAGAUAUUCUCAAAAGGCUCAUGAAAGGUAUGGUGGAAGAAGGACUUUGUGAACAAGAGUUGCAGAGAGUAUUUGCAGAAAGUAUUUGAAGAAGAAUGAUUGGCAGUAUUUCUUAUUAUAUAAAGGUGAAAGAGGUCAAGUAGAGUUAAAGGUUAUGCUUUAGCACUAUAGUUUUCAAACUUUAGUGAUCAUUAGAAUCGAAUGUAACAGUGGGUUGCUGGGCUCCACCCCAGAAUGAGUGCAUUUGGGAUGGAGCCUGAGAAUUUGCAUUUCUACCAAGUUCUUUGGUAUUGCUGAUACUGCUGGUCCAAGGAUCAUACAUGGGAAAUUAGUGUUUAUCAGACUGUGGGUCAUAUCUGGGGAAGGACUUAAAACCCAGACUUUGGUUUCUGUUGUUUUAAGUACAACAGGAAUAUACAUAGAAUGUUUAGAAAAUAAGUAAAAAAAUUAAAAUUAGUCUUAUCAAUUAGAAGGUUACAAUUAACAUUUUUAAUGGACUGUUCAAUUUCCUCUUUUCUAAAAGUAUUAGGAAACCAAAAUUGUAUCAUCAUUAUUAUCACCAUAAUAGUAGCUAUUAAAUUAACACUAAUUAGGGAUCUAUUAUGUGCCAGGGUCUUUGCAUAUAUUUACUUAAUCCUUAUAAUAUUUUUUGAGCCAGGUACUAUUAUUAUUAUUUUUAUUUUACAGAUGAGGACUGAGGCACAGAGAGGUUAUUUAAUUUGUUCAGUGUUUCAUUGCUAGUAAGUGGCAUACUUAGGAUUAAACCCAAGCAGUCUGGCUCCAGAGCCUGUAUGCUUAAUCAUUAUGUUUACUAUAAUGAGUCUUCUGUCAUACUGACCAUUAUGCUGUACUAGUGUGCUAAACUACUUUUAACCUGAAUUGUUUAAUCAAAUCAUGAACAAUUUUGAUAACAUUAAAUAUGCUUGUCCAACAUUUAAAAUGAAAGCCUACAUUUUUUUCUUUUAAAAUAUUUCAAACAUUUUAAGUGUACAGAAAAAUUAUAUAAAAAUACUCAUGCACUGACUACCAGGUUGAACAUAUGUUAAUAUUUCAGCAUAUUUGCUUUGAACCCCCCCUUUCAAAAAAGAAAAAAAAAUAUGUAAUUUAGUAAGACCAUGAUUUUAAGAUUUAAUUUUACUUAAAAUGGUGCCUUAUGAGUUAUAAAAGAAAUCACCCUUUCCCUUAAUAAAAGUAGGAUCCUGGGGUGCCUGGGUAGCUCAGUCGGUUAAGUGUCUGACGCUUGGUUUCAGCUCGGGUCAUGAUCUGAGCCCAUGGAUCUGUGCUGAUGGUUCAGCGCCUGGUUUAGAUUCUUUCUCUCCCCUCUCUCUCUCUCAAAAUAAAUAAAUAAACAUAAAAAAAAAAAUAGGACAUCCUUUAAACUUAUAAAGGAGGAAGAAUUUCUAUGUAGUAAACAACCUCGUAAUUACUAUUGUUAUGCCAUCCCAGUGAACACUUGUCCUCCUUCAACACUCUGGCCCAUACGUGGGCUUUUAAAAUUAUUUGGUGAUAAAGGUAAUAAACACAGAUAGUAACAUAAAACUAGGUAAUGUGACUUGUAUGGUUUACUCAGUUUUCAGGCUGCUUAGCCUACUUUCAUGUGGCAAAGGUCAGAUUCCACCUGGGUAACAACUGUGCGUUGCCAAAUAGAACUAUCUGCAAUGAUGGAAAAGUCCUGUGCCUGUCCUGUCCAAUAUGGCAGCCACUAGCGUAGCCCUUGAAAUGUGGCUAGUACAACUUAGGAACUGAAUUGGGUUUUUGUUGUUGUUGUUGUUGUUGUUGUUGUUGUUUUGCUUUUGAGAGAGAGAGCAUGCACAAGUGAGCAAGGGGCAGAGAAAAAGAAAAUCCCGGGGUGGGGGGGGGAGAGAGAGAGAGAGAGAGAGAGAGAGAGAGAGAGAGAACUUGGGCUCACCCAAUGUAGGGCUUAAGCUCACCUGCAGCGUGGGCACAUGCUCACCAGAUGUGGGGCUUGUGCUCACGAACCAUGAGAUCAUGACCUGAGCUGAAGUCAGAUGCUUAAUGACUGAGCCACCCAGGCGCCCAGAAACUGAAUUGUUAACUUUAUUCAAUUUUAAUUAAAUUUAAGUAGCCACAUGUGGUUAGUGGCUCUCAAUUGUCAGCACAGAUCUAGGUCCUUACAGCUCUAAGUCUUCAUUAAAAAUAAUGAUUCCCCAGAUUCCAGGGAGUUCCUGGUUCUGGUGCUGGGUCAAGAGAUGCAGACUGAAAAAGGGAACAAGGGAGCUUUUUUAGGAUGAUGGAAAUAUUCUUUAUUUUGAUCAUGGUGAUGAGGAUAUGGAUAUAUACAUUUGCCAAAACUCAUCCAACUGAAUUCUUAAAAGGGGUGCAUUUGUGUGUGUAAAUUAUACCUCAAUAAAGUUGAUUUUAAAAAGUAAAAGAAAAAAAAAGGGCCAAGUUCCAGGGACAGAAGUUCCACCUCUAGUCUAUCUAAAGCAUGCCCUCUGCAAUCCCAUUUUUUCCUUAGGAACCACCAAAGUCAUUACUACAACAUCAUAGGACCCUUUGUGAUCUGGCGCCUGGGUACUUCAGACAUUUCCUUGGCUGGAUGCUUUGGCACACUGACCACCUUGUUAGUCCUCAAACACUCCAAUACAUUUCUGUCUCAGGGCCUUUGCACUUGCUCUUCUUCUGAUUGGAAAAUUUUUCCCAGGUAAUCAUUUUAGGUGUCUGCUCAAAUGUCAGCUCCAGCAAGAUGCCAUUCCUGCCAACCUCUGUCCUUUUCACUCUCCAUUUCCUUAUCCUGCUCACUUUAUAGCACUAAUCACUAUCUGAAAUUAUAUAGUUACUUGUCUAUUGUCCUUCUUCCCCAUUAGACUGUAAGGCUGUUCAUAAGGGCAGGCAGUUUGUUGAUUGUUAGAUUCCCUGUGCCAGGCACACAGUAGCCUCAAUAAAUAUUGUUGAAUGAAUGAAUGGCUGUCAUCCAUGGUAGUGUUUCUCAGCCUGAGAUCGAAGCAUGCAUUCAUUGAAAAUCCACAAAUUCUCUAAAAACUUUUUAAAAUUUUUGUGUUGUAAUUUUGAUACUAAUCUAAAACAAUAUUUAUGAUUUCCUAAAUGAGCACCUUAAAACAUGAAGUUUUGAAUGCCUGAAUUCAUGUAGAGUUUAGGAUUUUGUUUGUAUCAGGUAAAAACCAAAGAACAUCAUGACAAAACGUAUAGAUAAAGAUUUCACGGUAAUUUUGAUAGAGUUAGGUCAUCACAUGUCACACAGUAGCCUAGACUUGCCAAACUCAAAAGAACUAGGCCUUUAACUGCCAGUGCUACAUUCAGUUAGAAACAGAAAUUGCACAAAGCAUGCAUGCAUGUGUGCACACACAAACACACACACUCUCAUAUAUUCUGAACUUAGUAACAUAAGUGAACUAGUAAAUACACUGUAAGGAAUUUUUUUUAUGUUUUUAUUUUAUUUUUGAGAGACAGAGUGAGAGUGGGGGAGGGGCAGAGAGAGAGGGAGACAAUCUGAAGCAGGCUCCAGGCUCUGAGCUAACAGCUCAGACUAACAGCUCUCCAGGCUCUGAGCUAACAGCUCCAUGACAUGGAGCUCAACCCCAUGGACUGCGAGAUCUUGACCUAAGCCAAAGUCGGACACCCAACCAAUUGAGCCACCCAGGCAGGAGCCCCUCUCACAGUAAGGAAUUGCUUUAUGGUUUCCAGCAAUACUCAGAUUUGAUACUACUUAACUAAGAUGUCAUAUUUAAAGGGGGGAUGCCUGAUUGGCUCAGUUGGUAGAGCAUGUGACUCUUGAUCUUGAGGUCCUGAGUUCACACCCCAUGUUGGGUAUAGAGCUUACUUAAAAAAAAGAGAAUGUCAAAUACUCAAAAAUACUAACCCAAUCUUAUGAGUGACCACUUUACAGUUAUCAGGUGAUCCUCAAAAUUGGCAUUCCAGGAUUUUGUAGCACUAGAAUUUUUAUUGAAAUAUGCGAUCUAAUCUUCUCAAACUAGCAGCAGGAAACCUGGAAGAUAUUAAUACAGUGUAUUUGUACAAACAGGUGUCAUUUGCAUUGACAUUAUUAAAGUAAACACACAGAGACACAUUUAAUAUAGAUGAGAAGUUGCAUCUUAAUCUUCGUAAGCCUAACAGCUUGCAAUUCAAACUAACAUUAAUUUUAAAUGGCUGGACCAAAUAACCAAUGUCUGUGGAGCAGGAGAAUACUUAUCACUGCAGUUUUAUUACUUUUCCUUCUUCCUUUUCUUUUCCCUUUACUUAGAACUCAAAGGGUACUUUGGGGGUAAAAGAAAGUAAAGUUCAAGGGUUUACUGAAAGAAACACUUUAUCCUCAUCCCGGUAACAUUCUUGAGUUUUUGUAGAAUGGCCUGAUCUCUCUGUCUGAACCUUCCGGCUCUAUCUCCUAAACACAGUCUAAUUCAGUUCCUUUCGUGGGUAUGACAUAAAGAGUCAGAAUAAGCAUUACAUUUUUUUAUAUGUAUAGUCUCAUAAGACAUAUGUGAAUGGGUAAGAGAAGAGCAAAAGUACAAGGUGACAUACUUUCUUAGUCCUUUAGAUUAUUUACAUAAAUCCUUGCAUAAUAUUCCAAUAUAUAAGUGUGUUAUAAUUAUGAUGUACAAGAAUAUAAAUCCAAGGCAGUCUGCAAGCAGGGAUUUUUAUUUAGGUGGACAGGAAAGUAUUGAAAAUUAUGUAUGCAUGUACUAAAUUAAAGCAUCAGCACUAGGUGUCAGCAGAUCACAACAUUGGAGAGUGCCUCAAUUUGGACAUUGGUAAAAUAGCAAUAAAUGGACAGAGUGUCUUUCAUGACACCUCUUGCCUAGCAUUUUCCCAUUCAUAUAUUAAUUUUCAGCCUGGCAUUUGCUAAGUGUGUCCACAAAUUCUAUGGACAUUAAUGGGUAUCAUGUUGAGGGGAGGCUUCUACAGUGAAGUAAGUUUAGUAAACAAUGAGUAAAUAAAGUUAGUUUUUCUAUUGAGGACUUUCAGAGCCUUUCUAUGCUGAUGAUACUGUGACUCCAGAGAAAAAGCAGUGAUGCCUCCAAAAUGUCUAGGGAGAGGAAGGGUUUAAUGGCAAGAGUCUGCUAGCAGCUUAAGAUAAUAGAAUGUAUUACAUUUUUCAUUUUGGACAUUAUUUUGUUUACAGUGUACAUUUUGGGGUAAUCUGGGUGUGCUGAUAGAGAUAACAGGGAUGUUAAUACCCUAAGCCACCCUGGCAGUAUUAUUGAUAUGUAGCAUUUCUGCACUUUGUUAGCCACAAAAACAUUUGAAUCUGUCAGAGGCACAUAUUUUUAGGAAAAACCAACACAGAGAAAUAGUGCCUCUCAUUAUGGCCUCUACUUUCAUCAGUAUGCUUAAAAAGGAGUUAAUGCUCUCCCAUAUUCUCUGGUAAUUACGGAGGUGUUUUCCAUUUAGUGUUUUAAUCCAGCUGACAUGUAUUUUUGCAUAGGAUGUGAGGGAAAGAUUCAAAUGAUUUUAUUUACUUAUUUUAUAUUGUAAAAUACCGGUUGUCCCAAAACCUUGCAUUAAAUAUGUUUUUGGUUUUGUUUUCAGGUCCAGAAUCCUCCAGAUCACUUUACCAAUAAGUUCAAUAUGUAAAACAGACCAAUGUGGUUGAAAUGGGAACGAAUGAGAAUUAUUCCAACUUGCCAGCAGUACUUACCCCCUUUUCCACCCUCCCCAAAGGGUGUACUUUGAAAACCAUUGGAAAAACUCACCCCCUCAUGAAUGGCUUGAAAUACCCCAUCUGUAACAUGCUACAUUAAAACGUUUGCCUAUCUCAGUUAUUUUUCUGCCAGUCUCAUACUUUAAUUUAUGGAGCCUAGGACCUUUAUAAUUUAACAAAAGAAAUUGAAACAUCUAAUAAAUAACAACAUGAGAUUUGGGGAGACCCAUAAAAUUAGGAUAUUUCUUUUAAAUGUCUGUUGUUGGCAAGAGUUGAUUAAGUCCCUUCAAUAUAUAUUUGAACUAAAAUUAUUUAUUUAAAAAUUUUUUUUAACGUUUAUUUAUUUUUG
Molecule: long non-coding RNA, 10490 nt
Filed under: Lynx pardinus (Iberian lynx)
Lineage: Eukaryota; Metazoa; Chordata; Mammalia; Carnivora; Felidae
Rfam family: tRNA (bases 8241-8313)
Source: RNAcentral